Molecule: ribosomal RNA, 494 nt
Filed under: uncultured bacterium
Lineage: Bacteria
Description: partial 16S ribosomal RNA
Rfam family: Bacterial small subunit ribosomal RNA
Source: RNAcentral
GACGAACGCUGGCGGCGUGCUUAACACAUGCAAGUCGAACGGAAAGGCCUGCUUUCCCUUGUGGAUUGCGGGUGCUCGAGUGGCGAACGGGUGAGUAACACGUGAGUGAUCUGCCCCCAACUUGGGUAUAAGCCUGGGAAACUGGGUCUAAUUCCCGAUAGGACUGCAGGGUGGUGCCUGUGGUGGAAAACGAUUUUCUAGUGGUUGGGGAUGAGCUCGCGGCCUAUCAGCUUGUUGGUGGGGUAAUGGCCUACCAAGGCGGCGACGGGUAGCCGGCCUGAGAGGGUGGACGGCCACAUUGGGAUUGAGAUACGGCCCAGACUCCUACGGGAGGCAGCAGUGGGGAAUAUUGCACAAUGGGCGGAAGCCUGAUGCAGCGACGCCGCGUGGGGGAUGACGGCCUUCGGGUUGUAAACUCCUUUCGACCGCGAGGAAGCCGCCUGGUUGGAAGGGUGGUGACGGUAGUGGUAGAAGAAGCACCGGCUAACUACGUG